UGAAAGAAUCUGUUAAGCUCAGGAGGGAUAGCGCCAUGGAUGCUCUUCUCUUUUGCUCCAUUUAUUUGGUUUGCAUUUUCAUUUGAUCUUCUAUUGCGCUAUCCAUCCUGAGUUUCAUGGGUUUUUCAC
This is a non-coding RNA of Lupinus albus (white lupine), 129 nucleotides long. Lineage: Eukaryota; Viridiplantae; Streptophyta; Magnoliopsida; Fabales; Fabaceae. The record is from the annotation of a GenBank genome assembly.